This 253-nucleotide ribosomal RNA is filed under the name uncultured bacterium. RNAcentral describes it as "partial 16S ribosomal RNA". It matches the Rfam family "Bacterial small subunit ribosomal RNA", at positions 524 to 776 of the family's 1533-position model. The record is from RNAcentral.
GACGAACCGAGCGAACGUUGUUCGGAAUCACUGGGCUUAAAGGGCGCGUAGGCGGACCGGAAAGUCAGGGGUGAAAGCCUCCAGCCCAACUGGAGAAGCGUCUUUGAUACUGCCGGUCUCGAAGGGUGCAGGGGCAUGCGGAACUCAGGGUGGAGCGGUGAAAUGCUUAGAUAUGACAUAGAACACCGAUAGCGGAGGCAGCUUGCUACACAGUCAUUGACACUGAGGCACGAAAGCGUGGGGAUCAAACAGG